AUCAACUUUCGAUGGUAGGAUAGAGGCCUACCAUGGUGGUAACGGGUAACGGGGUGUUAGGGCACGACACCGGAGAGGGAGCCUGAGAAACGGCUACCACAUCCAAGGAUGGCAGCAGGCGCGCAAAUUACCCAAUCCCGACACGGGGAGGUAGUGACAAUAAAUAACAAUACGGGGUUCUUUAGGAUCUCGUAAUUGGAAUGAGUACAAUUUAAAUCUCUUAACGAGGAACAAUUGGAGGGCAAGUCUGGUGCCAGCAGCCGCGAUAAUUCCAGCUCCAAUAGCGUAUAUUAAAGUUGUUGCAGUUAAAAAGCUCGUAGUUGAAUUUCGGGAUCAUCAGGUUGGUCGUGCCUUCGGUAUGUACUUGCUUCGGUGGUCCCUCCUUCUUGAAGAACCGUAAUGGCAUUAAUUUGUUGUUGCGGGGAAACAGGACUGUUACUUUGAAAAAAUUAGAGUGUUUAAAGCAGGCAAUCGCUUGAAUACAUUAGCAUGGAAUAAUGAAAUAGGACGUUCGAUCCUAUUUUGUUGGUUUCUAGGAUUGACGUAAUGAUUAAUAGGGAUAGUUGGGGGCAUUAGUAUUCAAUUGUCAGAGGUGAAAUUCUUGGAUUUAUUGAAGACUAACUACUGCGAAAGCAUUUGCCAAGGAUGUUUUCAUUAAUCAAGAACGAAAGUUAGGGGAUCGAAGACGAUCAGAUACCGUCGUAGUCUUAACCAUAAACUAUGCCGACUAGGGAUCGGAUGAUGUUAAUUUUUUAAUGACUCAUUCGGCGCCUUACGGGAAACCAAAGUGUUUGGGUUC
RNAcentral lists this ribosomal RNA (799 nucleotides) under uncultured Glomeromycotina. RNAcentral describes it as "SSU rRNA". It matches the Rfam family "Eukaryotic small subunit ribosomal RNA", at positions 314 to 1114 of the family's 1831-position model. The record is from RNAcentral. Lineage: Eukaryota; Fungi; Glomeromycota.